CGGGGUGGAGUAACGCGUGGGUAACCGUGCCUCAUACAGGGGGAUAACAGUUGGAAACGACUGCUAAUACCGCAUAAGCGCACAGGAUUGCAUGAUCCAGUGUGAAAAACUACCGGUGGUAUGAGAUGGACCCGCGUCUGAUUAGCCAGUUGGCGGGGUAACGGCCCACCAAAGCGACGAUCAGUAGCCGACCUGAGAGGGUGACCGGCCACAUUGGGACUGAGACACGGCCCAA
RNAcentral lists this ribosomal RNA (235 nucleotides) under uncultured bacterium. RNAcentral describes it as "partial 16S ribosomal RNA". It matches the Rfam family "Bacterial small subunit ribosomal RNA", at positions 104 to 334 of the family's 1533-position model. The record is from RNAcentral.